GGGCACGGGCUGCGGGUGAUGACGGGGCCCUGCGUGGUGUCUCUUUGCCGAGGAGAUUUCUGUGCGGGUCGCUUGGAGUCUUGUUUGAUGGCUCUUUCCCCACGCCUCCCCCGCUUCUUCUUCAGCCCGGGCGAGCAGGAGCGCAGCGGGGCGAGGGAGCGAUGCAGAAAUGGAGGAGGCAGGCGGGGCAGGGGCAGGGUCACGGCGGGUUCAGAGUCCCGCACACCGGGUUUAGGGUCUCACGCUACUGCCUGUGCAGGGACGGGGCAGGAACUCUGGUGGCUCCUAAAGACUCCCGCUUUCCCUUCCCGGGAGCAGUGGGGCGUGGUGAGGAUGUCUGAGAGGGGAGGAAGAUUAAAGGGCCUUGUGAUGUCACCGUUGUUAUAAGUUCAUAUUAUAUUAUUCGUUUUUCGCAAAUAUUAAAACGAAUACUAAAUGUAUAAUGUUGGAAAACUUUCCUGUAUGAAUAUAGUUUCUUUUAGUUCUGCUGUUAACAAAGCUUAGAAAUAGUACUAUGAUAAAUACCUAUUUUUCUUGGACUAUAGCAUGGUGAUGUAAAAAGCUUUUGUUCACAUAAUUAACUCAGAGAAUGGUAAAAAAAGAAGAUAUUCAGGAAAUUCUUCACAUUCUUGGAUUAUCCUGUCUCAAUGAAUACAGGAGUGAUGAACACUAGAACUCUAGGAAAGGAAUUUAUUGAUCUCCAUUAUCUGGGAAUGCACUAACAAGAAGGAGAAUGAGCCACAAGCAGAAAAAAAAAUUAAAAUAAAAAGUUUUAAAAAGCUGAUUUACGGGUUGAAUAAUGCAUGAAGUUCUAUGAAUAUGCAACAUGUUUAUUCAUUUAAGGAAGUGAUUUCUGAGUUAGUGUGUGCUCUUGGCUGAAUGUCAAGCACCUGACCUUUAUAACCUUUUGCUUUAUUGUUUGUCUCUUAUUGUCUUUUAUUAAAUGUUUUGAAAUUUACUAGGAAGGUGAACCUUACUUUUCACACCAUGGAGUACCUGUGACUGCUCCUGACCUCUCUUUAGCAGCCCAGAUUCUUCUAGGAUGUGACCACGGAGUGCCUGUCACUGCCAGGGACCUCCUGGCUCCUUAGAAGCCCCAGAGAGCCCUGUGAUGUCACGGUGGUAGCCUUUCUUCGACACCCCUGGAAUGUCACUGUAGAGUACCUGUGAGUGCCUGUGACAUAACAGCUGCUUAGCAGCAUGGAGACACUUGUGGUAUUGCCAUUGAGACCCUGUGACAGCCUGUGAGGUCAGUGUGGUUUGGCAAAUGAGAGACUCCUGGAAUGUCACCAAGGAGUCCUUGGGAUUGCACAUGACCUCAGUGUUCUUUAGGAUCAUAGAGACGACUGGGAUGUAACCAUGGAACCUCAGUGAGUGCCUGUGCCAAAUGGGCUCCUUGGCAUGUAGAGACACCUCUGUUGUCCUCUGGUGACUGCUUGGGACCUCACAAGUCUUUGGAAGAUGAAAGAGGUCUGGCACAUCACCAUGGAGUCACUGUGGCCUCAUGUGACCUCAGUGCUCUUCAGCAGACCAGAGAGACUUGCGAUGUCACCAUGGACACCCUGUGCCUGUUUGUGAUCUCUCUCCUUUUGAACAGGCUGGAGACAGCUCUGAUGUCACCAUGGACUGCAGUGGGUACUGGUGGUUCAGGGAGGUGAGGGCAGGGGAAGGAACGUGGCAGGUCUCGCUGGGAGCCACUCUGGCACUCAGUUAGCAGGGACAGCACCAGAGCCCAGACCUGGGAAACAUUUGUGUCCCCCACGAGCCAAGUCUGAUCACAGGUGUGUCCUCUGCUGGGAUGGGAGGCCUGUUGUCACACUGGAACAGGGGACCAGGUGUACCCCAUGUCCCCAGCAUGCCAACUCUGGUCACAGAAGGCCAGCUCUACCCACUGGGCUCUCACACAUGGUCUGCCUGCCACCAGCAUGGGAGGCUUUCUCUCCUCACCCAGGAGGCCCGGUCUGCUUACCAAAAUGACCAGAGUAGUGGUAUGAAUGGCCAGAAUGCCAACAGGAGAUCACCCCACUGCCGAGUGUGCACCAGGCUCAGCAGGGUCUUCUUUCCCCUCCUGAUUCUGCCAAGCCUCUUCCCUUGGCUGUGGUUCACUGGAUAGCAGGUUGGGACUGUGGGAAUCUUGUUCAUCCAUUCAUGCACGUGACUAAUGAUGAGGUAUUUGGCUGUUUAUCUGUUCUGGGAGAAAACCUCCAAAGAGUCCCCCCCAGGAAGCAAACCCAAGUGGCCCCUUCCCCAACCGAGAAAAAAUUUCUUUGGAGAGAAGUGUAAAAAACUUGUUUAUUCAAGAGGCAAAGCACUGCCCAGCACAAAGAAUUUACAAUACCAAACAACAAAACCUCUUGCUGCUCUGAAGAGAUGAUACAUUCAGAAAGUCUCUCUCCUGUGGGUGGUAGCUGGGCUCAGUCUUUUCUCAGUCCCUCCAGCGCUGGAAAAUGCCACUGCCCAGGCCAGGCCCCAGUGGGCCACAGGUGCAGGACAUAACGGCCAUAGCUGCACUCACUUUGCCACUGCGGUCCUUUGCCUAGAGUGGGUUACACUCUGCGAGCAGAAGGCCUUAGAUAUGGCUUGAGCUGUUGCUCCAUGGCCUUUUGGCUUCAGAUUGUGUUUGAAGGAGGCGAGGAGGAGGGGGAGGUCUUUUGCAUAGGAUAAAAAGGAUUUAUUACUUUGGGGAAUCUGGGGGGCAAAAGACAAAAAUGGCAAAGGUACAACAACUUAAAUAUGGGGGAGAUUCAAGGGGAAGGUACAAUUUACUAGAAAAUUGGAGAAAUUCUGAGGAGUGGUAUAGGGCA
Long non-coding RNA from Oenanthe melanoleuca, 2804 nucleotides. RefSeq lists it as uncharacterized. NCBI's taxonomy places the organism in Eukaryota, Metazoa, Chordata, Aves, Passeriformes, Muscicapidae. The record is from RefSeq and is a predicted model, not a curated record. The transcript is spliced from 2 exons.